RNAcentral lists this ribosomal RNA (30 nucleotides) under Syncephalastrum racemosum. RNAcentral's name for it is "partial 28S ribosomal RNA". The record is from RNAcentral. Lineage: Eukaryota; Fungi; Mucoromycota; Mucoromycetes; Mucorales; Syncephalastraceae.
UGAAAUCAAGUAGGAUUACCCGCUGAACUU